RNAcentral lists this ribosomal RNA (253 nucleotides) under uncultured bacterium. RNAcentral's name for it is "partial 16S ribosomal RNA". It matches the Rfam family "Bacterial small subunit ribosomal RNA", at positions 524 to 776 of the family's 1533-position model. The record is from RNAcentral.
UACGUAGGGUGCAAGCGUUAUCCGGAAUCACUGGGCGUAAAGCGUGCGUAGGUGGCGUGUUAAGUGAGAUGUUAAAUCGUGUGGCUCAACCAUAUCGAUGCAUCUCAUACUGGCAUGCUAGAGGACGGCAGAGGCAAGUGGAAUUGGUAGUGUAGCAGUGAAAUGCGUAGAUAUUACCAGGAACACCAGUGGCGAAGGCGAGUCCCUGGACAACACCUGACACUGAGGCACGAAAGCUAGGGGAGCAAACAGG